This 68-nucleotide transfer RNA is filed under the name Ophiura albida. RNAcentral describes it as "transfer RNA-Leu(CUN)". It matches the Rfam family "tRNA". From Rfam's summary of the family: Transfer RNA (tRNA) molecules are approximately 80 nucleotides in length. Their secondary structure includes four short double-helical elements and three loops (D, anti-codon, and T loops). The record is from RNAcentral. Lineage: Eukaryota; Metazoa; Echinodermata; Ophiuroidea; Amphilepidida; Ophiuridae.
AUCAGAUAUAGUUUAAUAAAAAUAUUUGUUUUAGGCACAAAAGAUGCUAAACUUUUAGUUAUUUGAGU